UGGAUAACCUACCUAUAAGACUGGGAUAACUUCGGGAAACCGGAGCUAAUACCGGAUAAUAUAUUGAACCGCAUGGAUCAAUAGUGAAAGACGGUUUUGCUGUCACUUAUAGAUGGAUCCGCGCCGCAUUAGCUAGUUGGUAAGGUAACGGCUCACCAAGGCAACGAUGCGCAGCCGACCUGAGAGGGUGAUCGGCCACACUGGGACUGAGACACGGCCCAG
This 222-nucleotide ribosomal RNA is filed under the name uncultured Staphylococcus sp. RNAcentral's name for it is "partial 16S ribosomal RNA". It matches the Rfam family "Bacterial small subunit ribosomal RNA", at positions 118 to 334 of the family's 1533-position model. The record is from RNAcentral. Lineage: Bacteria; Bacillati; Bacillota; Bacilli; Caryophanales; Staphylococcaceae.